RNAcentral lists this long non-coding RNA (331 nucleotides) under Manihot esculenta (cassava). Its description in RNAcentral is "long non-coding RNA (MESC_LNC010145)". The record is from RNAcentral. Lineage: Eukaryota; Viridiplantae; Streptophyta; Magnoliopsida; Malpighiales; Euphorbiaceae.
CCGUGCCCCAAUUUUUUAUGUGAGAUCAGAACUAUGUUCUUUAUGAGUUGUUUUUGCUUGUUGCACCGGAUGAUCUUGGGGAUUCUGGCUAUUUUUGCUCCGGGAGAUCUUUGAGAUCUUUGCCGGUCUUCUACCUCAGUGAGGUCUUUUGCCUCAUUGAGGUCUUCUGCCUCUUUGAGGUCUUCUGCCUCUUUGAGGUCUUCUGCCUCAUUGAGGUCUUCUGCCUCAUUGAGGUCUUCUGCCUUUUUGAGGUCUUCUGCCUCUUUUGAGGUCUUCUGCCUCAUUGAGGUCUUCUACCUCUUUGAGGUCUUCUGCCUCUUUGAGGUCUUCU